Molecule: ribosomal RNA, 304 nt
Filed under: Clostridioides difficile
Lineage: Bacteria; Bacillati; Bacillota; Clostridia; Peptostreptococcales; Peptostreptococcaceae
Description: bacterial SSU rRNA
Rfam family: Bacterial small subunit ribosomal RNA
Source: RNAcentral
GAAACUCAAAGGAAUUGACGGGGACCCGCACAAGUAGCGGAGCAUGUGGUUUAAUUCGAAGCAACGCGAAGAACCUUACCUAAGCUUGACAUCCCAAUGACAUCUCCUUAAGCGGAGAGUUCCCUUCGGGGACAUUGGUGACAGGUGGUGCAUGGUUGUCGUCAGCUCGUGUCGUGAGAUGUUGGGUUAAGUCCCGCAACGAGCGCAACCCUUGUCUUUAGUUGCCAUCAUUAAGUUGGGCACUCUAGAGAGACUGCCAGGGAUAACCUGGAGGAAGGUGGGGAUGACGUCAAAUCAUCAUGCC